AAUCAGAAUACGUUUCUUACACAGGAACAGGAAACAGAGUGCCUUUCUCCCAGCUUGGAACUGGACUGCGUGUAACAAUUGUGUGUUGCCAGGAGAGAUCUAAGGCAAGAUUGAUCACUGGAAGGGAAAGAGAAGGUCUUCUUUGAGAGACAGGACCUUGCCCAAGCAGCACAAUCAGAGCCAGCCUGUACAGCAAGAGACCUGGAGAUGAGUCAAUACCUAUGGCAGGAGGUCUCUGAGAGGAGGAGAGGGCAGCAAAUAGUAAG
Molecule: long non-coding RNA, 266 nt
Organism: Thamnophis elegans (Western terrestrial garter snake)
Lineage: Eukaryota; Metazoa; Chordata; Lepidosauria; Squamata; Natricidae
Exons: 3
Source: RefSeq, a predicted model, not a curated record